Oncorhynchus tshawytscha (Chinook salmon) is the source of this 437-nucleotide long non-coding RNA. The record is from Ensembl. Lineage: Eukaryota; Metazoa; Chordata; Actinopteri; Salmoniformes; Salmonidae.
CCCUGUAUAUAGUAUGGUAUUAACUGACCCUGUAUAUAGUAUUAACUGACCCUGUAUAUAGUAUGGUAUUAACUGACCCUGUAUAUAGUAUGGUAUUAACUGACCCUGUAUAUAGUAUGGUAUUAACUGACCCUGUAUAUAGUAUGGUAUUAACUGACCCUGUAUAUAGUAUUAACUGACCCUGUAUAUAGUAUGGUAUUAACUGACCCUGUAUAUAGUAUGGUAUUAACGGACCCUGUAUAUAGUAUGGUAUUAACGGACCCUGUUUAUAGUAUGGUAUUAACUGACCCUGUAUAUAGUAUGGUACUAACUGACCCUGUAUAUAGUAUGGUAUUAACUGACCCUGUAUAUAGUAUGGUACUAACUGACCCUGUAUAUAGUAUGGUAUUAACUGACCCUGUAUAUAGUAUGGUACUAACUGACCCUGUAUAUAGUGU